GGAUCGAUAGCUCAGUGGUAGAGCGAGAGAUUGCAGUUUGCACACCAAUAUCUCUAGGUCACGUGUUCGAACCACGUUCGGUCCU
Exophiala mesophila is the source of this 85-nucleotide transfer RNA. It matches the Rfam family "tRNA". Rfam says of the family: Transfer RNA (tRNA) molecules are approximately 80 nucleotides in length. Their secondary structure includes four short double-helical elements and three loops (D, anti-codon, and T loops). Further hydrogen bonds mediate the characteristic L-shaped molecular structure. tRNAs have two regions of fundamental functional importance: the anti-codon, which is responsible for specific mRNA codon recognition, and the 3' end, to which the tRNAs corresponding amino acid is attached (by aminoacyl-tRNA synthetases). tRNAs cope with the degeneracy of the genetic code in two manners: having more than one tRNA (with a specific anti-codon) for a particular amino acid; and 'wobble' base-pairing, i.e. permitting non-standard base-pairing at the 3rd anti-codon position. NCBI's taxonomy places the organism in Eukaryota, Fungi, Ascomycota, Eurotiomycetes, Chaetothyriales, Herpotrichiellaceae. The record is from Rfam.